UGAUGAUGGUACCAGACAGGGGAUG
This 25-nucleotide non-coding RNA is filed under the name Mus musculus (house mouse). The record is from RNAcentral. Lineage: Eukaryota; Metazoa; Chordata; Mammalia; Rodentia; Muridae.